Molecule: long non-coding RNA, 288 nt
Filed under: Equus asinus (donkey)
Lineage: Eukaryota; Metazoa; Chordata; Mammalia; Perissodactyla; Equidae
Description: lncRNA (ENSEASG00005036157.1)
Source: RNAcentral
GCCCACAGUUAGGAUUUAUACAGAGGAGUACUCCAGAUGGGAAACUUGAAGCAUACUGCUUAAGCCAUUUCAUUCUAGCCGGACCAGACGAUUGCCAUUGGGAUGUAGCGUAUGGGAUAAGGAAGAUUAGGCCUGAGCUAACAUCUACCACCAAUCCUCCUCUCUUUGCUGAGGAACAUUGGACCUGAGCUAACACCCAGGAUCUGAACCGGUGGACCACAAGCCGCUGAAGCGGAACAUGCGAACUUAACCACUGCGCCAUCAGGCCGCCCCCUUACCUGUAUUUUC